Molecule: non-coding RNA, 26 nt
Filed under: Homo sapiens (human)
Lineage: Eukaryota; Metazoa; Chordata; Mammalia; Primates; Hominidae
Source: RNAcentral
UGCCACAGUUAGGAUGAUGACUGCCU